This 1160-nucleotide long non-coding RNA is filed under the name Canis lupus familiaris (dog). RNAcentral's name for it is "lncRNA (ENSCAFG00030004872.1)". Lineage: Eukaryota; Metazoa; Chordata; Mammalia; Carnivora; Canidae. The record is from RNAcentral.
CAACCUGCAGUCAAACAGAUGGACGUAAACAAUGUUUUCCAAUUCUCCCAGAAAGGCCAACAGUGACAGGAUAAGCGACAGCCUCAGACCAGUGAGGGUGACGCGGUGAAUCUCGGUGACAGGGAAAGAUGGAAAGGGGGGGAUGGAUAUAUCAGAAAAGAAAGGAAAGGAAAGGGUUUAGGAAAUAGCUCUUGGGGAAGAAAGCCCGGAGCAUUCAAGUACUACAGAGCUAAUAGAGUUGGACACUUUGCCCUUCCAGAAUUGCUGGAAAAGAGCAACUGGCAUCAAAUCCCAGUUAACAUUUAUUGACUUUACACGGUGCUGCAUGUAUGCCUAAGGGAGUGCACCCUCUAAACACAUCGCUAGGGUGGGAACUAUAAUUAAACCCUGUUCCCGGGGUCCCGGGGGGGCUCAGUCGGUUAAGCGUCUGCCUUCUGCUCAGGUCGUGAUCCCGGGCGUCCUGGGAUUGAGCCCCGAAUCGGGCUCCCUGCUCAGUGGGGAAUCUGCUUCUCCCUCUCUGUCUCCCUCCGCCCCUCCUCCCACCUGUGUGCAUGUGCUCUCUCACAAAUGAACACAUGAAAUCAUUAAAAACCAAACCAAACCAAACCCUGUUUUCCUUAAUGAGGACAAAGAGGCAGAAGGGAUAAAGUAAGUUUUGAAAGUCAAGAGGUGAGAAAUUUGAAGAAUGACUACAGCAGACUUCUGAUUCUAAAACCAUCAGCCUACAUAGCCCAGCUGUCUGGGCCUCCAUGGUCACUGGACUCCCUCCCACCUGCCCGCUGCCCCAUCCUGGGAAUGCAGAGACUCCUCUUCCUUGGACCUCCUCUGAGUUCCCAAGGCUAGCCCUAAUCGAAGGAAUUGGAAUUGACUGAAGUUACAGGACUGAAAUAAUAUCAUCCUGGGUUUAAUAGGUGGAUACAAACAACGCUUUUUCAAUUCUCCGUGGAAAGAUCAAGUAAACAUUACUUCCUGGGUAAGUUAUAGCCUUGACUCCAGGAAGGGUGGUGCAGAGAAUCUUGUAACAGGGGGAAACGUGGUGUGAUAUCUUAGAAAAUAAAGAAGGGGGUGCCUGGCUGGCUCAGUCGGUGGAGCAUGGGAGUCUUACUCUUGGGGUUGUGAGUUUGAGCCCAAAGUUGGUAUAGAGAUUACUUAAAAUUUUU